GAUGAACGCUGGCGGCGUGCCUAAUACAUGCAAGUCGAGCGAACAGACGAGGAUCUUGCUCCUCUGACGUUAGCGGCGGACGGGUGAGUAACACGUGGAUAACCUACCUAUAAGACUGGGAUAACUUCGGGAAACCUGAUCUAAUACCGGAUAAUAUAUUGAACCGCAUGGUUCAUUAGUGAAAGACGGUUUUGCUGUCACUUAUAGAUGGAUCCGCGCCGCAUUAGCUAGUUGGUAAGGUAACGGCUUACCAAGGCAACGAUGCGUAGCCGACCUGAGAGGGUGAUCAGCCACACUGGAACUGAGACACGGUCCAGACUCCUACGGGAGGCAGCAGUAGGGAAUCUUCCGCAAUGGGCGAAAGCCUGACGGAGCAACGCCGCGUGAGUGAUGAAGGUCUUCGGAUCGUAAAACUCUGUUAUUAGGGAAGAACAAAUGUGUAAGUAACUAUGCACGUCUUGACGGUACCUAAUCAGAAAGCAACGGCUAACUACGUG
Molecule: ribosomal RNA, 497 nt
Filed under: uncultured bacterium
Lineage: Bacteria
Description: partial 16S ribosomal RNA
Rfam family: Bacterial small subunit ribosomal RNA
Source: RNAcentral